AACGAACGCUGGCGGCAUGCCUAACACAUGCAAGUCGAACGAGACCUUCGGGUCUAGUGGCGCACGGGUGCGUAACGCGUGGGAACCUGCCCUUAGGUUCGGAAUAACUCCCCGAAAGGGGUGCUAAUACCGGAUAAUGUCUUCGGACCAAAGAUUUAUCGCCUUUGGAUGGGCCCGCGUUGGAUUAGCUAGUUGGUAGGGUAAAAGCCUACCAAGGCGACGAUCCAUAGCUGGUCUGAGAGGAUGAUCAGCCACACUGGGACUGAGACACGGCCCAGACUCCUACGGGAGGCAGCAGUGGGGAAUAUUGGACAAUGGGCGAAAGCCUGAUCCAGCAAUGCCGCGUGAGUGAUGAAGGCCUUAGGGUUGUAAAGCUCUUUUACCCGGGAUGAUAAUGACAGAACCGGGAGAAUAAGCGCCGGCUAACUCCGUG
RNAcentral lists this ribosomal RNA (433 nucleotides) under uncultured bacterium. RNAcentral describes it as "partial 16S ribosomal RNA". It matches the Rfam family "Bacterial small subunit ribosomal RNA", at positions 29 to 507 of the family's 1533-position model. The record is from RNAcentral.